UGGGGAAUAUUGGACAAUGGGCGGAAGCCUGAUCCAGCAACGCCGCGUGAGGGAUGACGGCCUUCGGGUUGUAAACCUCUUUCAGUACCGACGAAGCGGAAGUGACGGUAGGUACAGAAGAAGCACCGGCCAACUACGUGCCAGCAGCCGCGGUAAUACGUAGGGUGCGAGCGUUGUCCGGAAUUAUUGGGCGUAAAGGGCUCGUAGGCGGUUUGUCGCGUCGGGAGUGAAAACACUGGGCUUAGCUCAGUGCUUGCUUCCGAUACGGGCAGACUAGAGGCAUGCAGGGGAGAACGGAAUUCCUGGUGUAGCGGUGAAAUGCGCAGAUAUCAGGAGGAACACCGGUGGCGAAGGCGGUUCUCUGGGCAUGUCCUGACGCUGAGGAGCGAAAGUGUGGGGAGCGAACAGGAUUAGAUACCCUGGUAGUCCACACCGUAAANGUUGGGCGCUAGGUGUGGGGCCUAUUCCCAUGGUUCGUGCCGCAGCCAACGCAUUAAGC
RNAcentral lists this ribosomal RNA (499 nucleotides) under uncultured bacterium. RNAcentral describes it as "partial 16S ribosomal RNA". It matches the Rfam family "Bacterial small subunit ribosomal RNA", at positions 355 to 865 of the family's 1533-position model. The record is from RNAcentral.